Molecule: unclassified non-coding RNA, 249 nt
Filed under: fungal sp.
Lineage: Eukaryota; Fungi
Description: partial internal transcribed spacer region
Rfam family: Eukaryotic small subunit ribosomal RNA (bases 1-46)
Source: RNAcentral
AAGUCGUAACAAGGUAACCGUAGGUGAACCUGCGGUUGGAUCAUUACAAAAUGAUUGCUUUGCCCUGUUGUUGGACCUUUACGGGUUCACCGGGGCAGAGUUUAAACCCACUGUGCACUGUAAUGUUUUUUGGGUGAACUGCGAGGCUUAACGGCCAAGCACUCGCCCAGCAGUCUAAACCAUUUUAAAUUAGCCUGAGAUUAAUAGUUUAAUAGUAAACAACUUUUGACAACGGAUCUCUUGGCUCUC